Hydra vulgaris (swiftwater hydra) is the source of this 1391-nucleotide long non-coding RNA. RefSeq lists it as uncharacterized. NCBI's taxonomy places the organism in Eukaryota, Metazoa, Cnidaria, Hydrozoa, Anthoathecata, Hydridae. The record is from RefSeq and is a predicted model, not a curated record.
GGUUUUAUUUUAAAAAUGCGCCAAAAUUUAGUUAGUUAAAUUAUCAGUGCUAUUCAGAAGCAAUAUAAAAAAUGAAAAAGGAUAAUUUAGAGUAUGAUUUCAAAAUAGUUUGUGACUUAUUUUGUAUUAAAUCUCAGAAAGAUUACUAAAAAGAAGAUUUAAUAGCUCUCAGCAAUAGUAGAUAUUGUUUUGUUUGCAAACCAAAAGGCAGUAAAAAUUUUAUUGUGUUCCGAUGUUUACCCUUUUUUACCUUUACACUUUAAACUUAUUAAGAAAAAGACAAGCACCUGAUAUUAUUCGAUAUGAAUAUAUACUUAAGUUGUGCAAUAAUUAAGUUUGAGUUGUUUCUCCGCUUUUGAGUUUAAUGAAAGAUCAAGAAAACAUUCUUAGUAAAAACAUUUUACUAAAAAGGAAAUCAAAGUAGCUUUUAUGAAGCAUAAUCAACAAAGAAAAAAAUAUAGAAGAUGAUCAAACAGAGAUAAAUUAUAAUGAAACAAAUGUAAUAUUUUGUUCACCUGAAGCCAUUGUAAUAACUUAUUGAUCAAUUGUCAAUGACUCUACUUUUAAUUACAAACUUGUUGCAUUUGCAGCUGAGGAAAGCCAUUGUGUGAAAAAGUGGGGAAGUUCAAGUUUAUUCAGAUCAUAUAUCAGAUGUAUUUCGGUCUCAUGAUAAUAGACUCAGAAUUGUGAUCACUUGUGCCUAAAAGGAUUCCAGAAUUGGCAUUGACAGCAACUGCAACUAAACAAAAAUGGAAAAUGAUAAUUUUCAUUUACUCGACUAUUAACUAGUCGAGAAGGAAACAUCGUAAUAGCUGAGUAGGCGAAGCCAGCAUUUGAACCUCCAAUCCUGCUGCUGCGGCCAAUAAUUAUUCUGAAUUUAUAACAGUGCUUCAUCCAACUGAGCUAUCCCGAACUUAUAACAGUGCUUUAACCAACUGAGCUACCAUUAUUGAUAAUCUUUGUAUGCAUAAUUUAGUUAUUAUAUUAUCUACACCAGAAAGAAGAAAUAUUAAAUACCAGAUCCAGAGAAAUUUUUCUACUCAGUUGUUCAAGAUAUUCUUUUGAAUAAUUAUUCAGCUAAAAGAACUUUAGUUUUUUCUACAACUAUGACUGAUGUAAGAUUAAUUUAUUUGUACUUUCACAAAAAACAAGGUCAAAAAGGUGUAAAAUAUAAAAGCCGUCUUAAUAGACCAUACAUUCAAUUUCAUUCCAAAACAGAUUUUAAUGAUGAAAAGUAUAAUAAUACAAAACAAAAAGAUAAACAACUUCUAAAAUUGAUCAAGCUUCAUUUUUUUGUUCGAAAAUAUUCUACUAUUCGUUUCUUCUGCUGUUGGUGUAGAUAUCAAUAUUUUUUGUGAGUUUUUUUUUAAGAAUUUCACGACUUCUUAAAA